AUUGAACGCUGGCGGCAUGCCUUACACAUGCAAGUCGAACGGUAACAGGUCCUCGGAUGCUGACGAGUGGCGAACGGGUGAGUAAUACAUCGGAACGUGCCUAGUAGUGGGGGAUAACUACUCGAAAGAGUGGCUAAUACCGCAUGAGAUCUACGGAUGAGAGCAGGGGAUCGCAAGACCUUGCGCUACUAGAGCGGCCGAUGGCAGAUUAGGUAGUUGGUGGGAUAAAAGCUUACCAAGCCGACGAUCUGUAGCUGGUCUGAGAGGACGAUCAGCCACACUGGGACUGAGACACGGCCCAGACUCCUACGGGAGGCAGCAGUGGGGAAUUUUGGACAAUGGGCGAAAGCCUGAUCCAGCAAUGCCGCGUGCAGGAUGAAGGCCUUCGGGUCGUAAACUGCUUUUGUACGGAACGAAAAGCCCCGGGUUAAUACCCUGGGGUCAUGACGGUACCGUAAGAAUAAGCACCGGCUAACUACGUGCCAGCAGCCGCGGUAA
This 498-nucleotide ribosomal RNA is filed under the name uncultured bacterium. RNAcentral describes it as "partial 16S ribosomal RNA". It matches the Rfam family "Bacterial small subunit ribosomal RNA", at positions 30 to 523 of the family's 1533-position model. The record is from RNAcentral.